This 501-nucleotide ribosomal RNA is filed under the name uncultured bacterium. RNAcentral's name for it is "partial 16S ribosomal RNA". It matches the Rfam family "Bacterial small subunit ribosomal RNA", at positions 30 to 523 of the family's 1533-position model. The record is from RNAcentral.
AUUGAACGCUGGCGGCAGGCUUAACACAUGCAAGUCGAGCGGAGAUGAGGUGCUUGCACCUUAUCUUAGCGGCGGACGGGUGAGUAAUGCUUAGGAAUCUGCCUAUUAGUGGGGGACAACAUUCCGAAAGGAAUGCUAAUACCGCAUACGCCCUACGGGGGAAAGCAGGGGAUCUUCGGACCUUGCGCUAAUAGAUGAGCCUAAGUCGGAUUAGCUAGUUGGUGGGGUAAAGGCCUACCAAGGCGACGAUCUGUAGCGGGUCUGAGAGGAUGAUCCGCCACAGGGGGACUGAGACACGGCCCAGACGCCUACGGGAGGCAGCAGUGGGGAAUAUUGGACAAUGGGCGGAAGCCUGAUCCAGCCAUGCCGCGUGUGUGAAGAAGGCCUUUUGGUUGUAAAGCACUUUAAGCGAGGAGGAGGCUACCUGGAUUAAUACUCUAGGAUAGUGGACGUUACUCGCAGAAUAAGCACCGGCUAACUCUGUGCCAGCAGCCGCCGUAA